GCCUGAGUGGCUCAGUUGAUUAAGCGUCUGACUUUGGCUCAGGUCAUGAUUUUGCGGUCUGUGGGUUCGAGCCCUGCGUCGGGCU
Molecule: transfer RNA, 85 nt
Filed under: Felis catus (domestic cat)
Lineage: Eukaryota; Metazoa; Chordata; Mammalia; Carnivora; Felidae
Also listed under: 1 other name
Rfam family: tRNA
About the family: Transfer RNA (tRNA) molecules are approximately 80 nucleotides in length. Their secondary structure includes four short double-helical elements and three loops (D, anti-codon, and T loops). Further hydrogen bonds mediate the characteristic L-shaped molecular structure. tRNAs have two regions of fundamental functional importance: the anti-codon, which is responsible for specific mRNA codon recognition, and the 3' end, to which the tRNAs corresponding amino acid is attached (by aminoacyl-tRNA synthetases). tRNAs cope with the degeneracy of the genetic code in two manners: having more than one tRNA (with a specific anti-codon) for a particular amino acid; and 'wobble' base-pairing, i.e. permitting non-standard base-pairing at the 3rd anti-codon position.
Source: Rfam by way of RNAcentral